This 235-nucleotide ribosomal RNA is filed under the name uncultured bacterium. RNAcentral's name for it is "partial 16S ribosomal RNA". It matches the Rfam family "Bacterial small subunit ribosomal RNA", at positions 15 to 233 of the family's 1533-position model. The record is from RNAcentral.
GAUCAUGGCUCAGGAUGAACGCUGGCGGCGUGCUUAACACAUGCAAGUCGAGCGAAGCAGUUAAGAAGAUUCUUCGGAUGAUUUUUAACUGACUGAGCGGCGGACGGGUGAGUAACGCGUGGGUGACCUGCCCCAUACCGGGGGGAUAACAGCUGGAAACGGCUGCUAAUACCGCAUAAGCGCACAGAGCUGCAUGGCUCGGUGUGAAAAACUCCGGUGGUAUGGGAUGGGCCCG